RNAcentral lists this ribosomal RNA (492 nucleotides) under uncultured bacterium. RNAcentral describes it as "partial 16S ribosomal RNA". It matches the Rfam family "Bacterial small subunit ribosomal RNA", at positions 29 to 507 of the family's 1533-position model. The record is from RNAcentral.
AGUGAACGCUGGCGGUAGGCCUAACACAUGCAAGUCGAACGGCAGCACAGUAAGAGCUUGCUCUUACGGGUGGCGAGUGGCGGACGGGUGAGGAAUACAUCGGAAUCUACUUUUUCGUGGGGGAUAACGUAGGGAAACUUACGCUAAUACCGCAUACGACCUACGGGUGAAAGCAGGGGAUCUUCGGACCUUGCGCGAUUGUAUUAGCCGAUGUCGGAUUAGCUAGUUGGCGGGGUAAAGGCCCACCAAGGCGACGAUCCGUAGCUGGUCUGAGAGGAUGAUCAGCCACACUGGAACUGAGACACGGUCCAGACUCCUACGGGAGGCAGCAGUGGGGAAUAUUGGACAAUGGGCGCAAGCCUGAUCCAGCCAUACCGCGUGGGUGAAGAAGGCCUUCGGGUUGUAAAGCCCUUUUGUUGGGAAAGAAAAGCAGCAGGUUAAUACCCCGCUGUUCUGACGGUACCCAAAGAAUAAGCACCGGCUAACUUCGUG